Lycium barbarum (goji berry) is the source of this 514-nucleotide long non-coding RNA. RefSeq lists it as uncharacterized. NCBI's taxonomy places the organism in Eukaryota, Viridiplantae, Streptophyta, Magnoliopsida, Solanales, Solanaceae. The record is from RefSeq and is a predicted model, not a curated record. The transcript has 3 exons.
GAGGAAGUGAGAGAGAAUGGAAUCUAGAGAGAAGAAGGAGAAAAUCAACCAAUUUUAAGGCCCCAAAUCCCAAAGCUCAUGAAGGAUAAUUUGUAGUACAAGUUGUGGUCGUCAUUUUAAGCCAAAGAUCGGACUUGGGGUGUUGAUUUCGUGGUGACUACCCAAAAAGAUUGAAGUUGAAGGGAUUGAAAGACGCUCAAAAGCGGGAGGUUAAGGUACGGAGUUACAGGACGACGCUUCUGAUCAUUAGGAUUUACUCGUACCAGCUUAUCGGUGAGCCCCAUCUCAUUCGGGGUUUAAACAUUGUAUUUCUCUGUUUAGUUUUGCAUGUAAAGGUAUGCUGGGGGCCUUGUCCCAGUAAUUAUGUUUUCCAGUCAGACUCAUGAUAGAGGUUUCAUAGACUAGACCAGUCAGUUAUGUUAUGUCAGACAUUUGGAGUCGUAUAGCCAUUUUGGCUCACUCAUGUUUUAAACAAGUACUUUAUUAAGUAUUAUGAAUUAUUACGUUUUACAAA